ACGGGGGGUGCGAGCGUUGUCCGGAAUCACUGGGCGUAAAGGGCGCGUAGGUGGUCUGAUAAGGGUGUGGUGAAAGCCCGGGGCUCAACCCCGGGUCGGCCGUGCCGACUGUUAGACUAGAGUGCUGUAGGGGCAGGCGGAAUUCCGGGUGUAGCGGUGGAAUGCGUAGAGAUCGGGAGGAACAUCCGUGGCGAAGGCGACUACCUGGACCAGCACUGACACUGAGGCACGAAAGCGUGGGGAGCAAACAGGA
RNAcentral lists this ribosomal RNA (253 nucleotides) under uncultured prokaryote. RNAcentral's name for it is "partial 16S ribosomal RNA". It matches the Rfam family "Bacterial small subunit ribosomal RNA", at positions 525 to 777 of the family's 1533-position model. The record is from RNAcentral.